UGGAAACAACCUAGAUGCCCCUCAUCAAAGAAUGGAUAAAGAAAAUGUGGUACAUUUACACAAUGGAGUAUUACUCAGCAGUGUAAAAAAAAUGGCAUCAUGAAAUUUGCAGACUAAUUGAUGGAACUAGACAAAAAUCAUCCUGCGUGAGGAGAAUGAAAACUAA
Molecule: non-coding RNA, 166 nt
Organism: Peromyscus maniculatus bairdii (prairie deer mouse)
Lineage: Eukaryota; Metazoa; Chordata; Mammalia; Rodentia; Cricetidae
Source: RefSeq, a predicted model, not a curated record